AUUUAACCAGAAAGCCACGGCUAACUACGUGCCAGCAGCCGCGGUAAUACGUAGGUGGCAAGCGUUGUCCGGAUUUAUUGGGCGUAAAGCGAGCGCAGGCGGUUUUUUAAGUCUGAUGUGAAAGCCUUCGGCUCAACCGAAGAAGUGCAUCGGAAACUGGGAAACUUGAGUGCAGAAGAGGACAGUGGAACUCCAUGUGUAGCGGUGAAAUGCGUAGAUAUAUGGAAGAACACCAGUGGCGAAGGCGGCUGUCUGGUCUGUAACUGACGCUGAGGCUCGAAAGUAUGGGUAGCAAACAGGAUUAGAUACCCUGGUAGUCCAUACCGUAAACGAUGAAUGCUAAGUGUUGGAGGGUUUCCGCCCUUCAGUGCUGCAGCUAACGCAUUAAGCAUUCCGCCUGGGGAGUACGGCCGCAAGGCUGAAACUCAAAGGAAUUGACGGGGGCCCGCACAAGCGGUGGAGCAUGUGGUUUAAUUCGAAGCUACGCGAAGAACCUUACCAGGUCUUGACAUACUAUGCAAAUCUAAGAGAUUAGACGUUCCCUUCGGGGACAUGGAUACAGGUGGUGCAUGGUUGUCGUCAGCUCGUGUCGUGAGAUGUUGGGUUAAGUCCCGCAACGAGCGCAACCCUUAUUAUCAGUUGCCAGCAUUAAGUUGGGCACUCUGGUGAGACUGCCGGUGACAAACCGGAGGAAGGUGGGGAUGACGUCAAAUCAUCAUGCCCCUUAUGACCUGGGCUACACACGUGCUACAAUGGAUGGUACAACGAGUUGCGAACUCGCGAGAGUAAGCUAAUCUCUUAAAGCCAUUCUCAGUUCGGAUUGUAGGCUGCAACUCGCCUACAUGAAGUCGGAAUCGCUAGUAAUCGCGGAUCAGCAUGCCGCGGUGAAUACGUUCCCGGGCCUUGUACACACCGCCCGUCACACCAUGAGAGUUUGUAACACCCAAAGUCGGUGGGGUAACCUUUUAGGAACCAGCCGCCUAAGGUGGGACAGAUGAUUAGGGUGAAGUCGUAACAAGGU
This 1021-nucleotide ribosomal RNA is filed under the name Lactiplantibacillus plantarum. Its description in RNAcentral is "bacterial SSU rRNA". It matches the Rfam family "Bacterial small subunit ribosomal RNA", at positions 477 to 1497 of the family's 1533-position model. Lineage: Bacteria; Bacillati; Bacillota; Bacilli; Lactobacillales; Lactobacillaceae. The record is from RNAcentral.